This 378-nucleotide unclassified non-coding RNA is filed under the name uncultured bacterium. RNAcentral describes it as "contains 16S-23S intergenic spacer region". The record is from RNAcentral.
UCCGGUUUGUCACCGGCGGUCUCCUUAGAGUUCCCACCAUUACGUGCUGGCAACUAAGGACAAGGGUUGCGCUCGUUGCGGGACUUAACCCAACAUCUCACGACACGAGCUGACGACAGCCAUGCACCACCUGUGAUGGUGUCCCGAAGGAAAGGUGUGUUUCCACACCGGCCACCAACAUGUCAAGCCCAGGUAAGGUUCUUCGCGUUGCGUCGAAUUAAACCACAUGCUCCACCGCUUGUGCGGGCCCCCGUCAAUUCCUUUGAGUUUCAGCCUUGCGGCCGUACUCCCCAGGCGGGGUGCUUAACGCGUUAGCUGCGACGCUGAAAGGGUCGCUCCCCCCAGCAUCUAGCACCCAACGUUUACGGCUAGGACUAC